CAUCUCUCUCCUAUACAGCAAAAUACCCCUCGAUAUAAAACGCCAUUUCGCAGAAUCUUCUCUGGCUGGUGCCAUCAACAACCCACUGCCGGGUGGGGGGACAGCGAGAGAAGCCGUCUCUCACCUCCCCCAGUGUGUGACACCUUUGAGAAAGCAGACCUUUUUGGUAGUAGUUGUUGUUAUUGCUUUAAGGAAUCACACAGCCACACAACUAGUUGGGUCCUUGGCAAGUUGAGUCAGAAAGAUCAAGUGAUUUCCACAAACCAAUCUGUGCCUCAGACCGAAGAACAGCAGCUGAAUUUGGAAGAACAAAAGGAGGAAUUUGGAAGAACAAAAAGUGAAACAGAAAACAGGCAAAAAAAGGGAAAAUAACCAAGAACCUUGAUCUGAAGACACCGAGAACGUCCCCAAGCAUUCCUAAAAACUCUCUGAAGUUGUGUAGAUUCAGGGAGCAACCGUUUUUAGAAGACACCACAAAGUAUCUUUGAAUGUUCUAGUCUUUCCACAGGACUUCUGCAGAUUCCUCGUCAUCUGUUGAGAAGAUUAAUACAAGCAAUUUAGAGAUCCUCUAGAUUUUCCUACUAGCUUCCUAGUAGUUCUCUAUACAUUGUUUAGUAUCUCUCCACAAGGUCCCUACAGGCUUCCAGUAAAUAUCUAGAUCUUUUAUAGAGACCUUCUGCUGUCCUACUAGUAGGCAUCUCCCUGCCAUACUGUAGUAGCCUUCCAAAGGAUUGUCAACUAGCUUGUCAGGAUUUCCAUGUCAGUGGUCUAGAAGCUCUCCAGACCCCCUGCUAUUCCUGUCACUCCACAGCCAGCUAGUUGUCAAUUCCUUCAUUUUCCAGUUGUGUCCUCCACCAUAUUUUUCUGAAUCGCUCUCAACAAUUUCUAUACGCGUUCUUCAAGUUCUCAACCAUUCUCCAGAAAUUCUGAAUGUAAUUUCUGCCACUUCUUUGGCAGCCUCCUUUUAAAAAAAAGACAAUCCAUUUAUAUUUUUUCCUGCCACAUAUCUGAAGAAAACAAACUAUUCCAGAAGCAAACCAGAAGAACUUCUGCCAGCAUUCCUCGCAGCAUUCCCAAGACCUUAGGAAAGAGCUCUUUAGGCAAUCUUCCUCGCCUGUCCACGCUCAAAACUCUUACUCAGAAGUUAGGUCCCCUGCUGUGAUUUCUCAAAAGCCAUCGCUAUUCCAGAUUCUGACUAAGAAGAAGCCAGCUGCAGUGGGCAAGUCCAUCUUCACCGCUCUUACUACCACUUGCAUCUGUUCGUGCUGGCUUCGUUUCUCACCGCCAAGCUGGAGUCCCUUA
Molecule: long non-coding RNA, 1302 nt
Organism: Anolis carolinensis (green anole)
Lineage: Eukaryota; Metazoa; Chordata; Lepidosauria; Squamata; Anolidae
Source: Ensembl